GCGGCUUUAGCUCAGCCGGUAGAGCGCUGGAUUGUGGUUCCAGAUGUCACGGGUUCGAAUCCCGUAAGCCGCCCCA
Molecule: transfer RNA, 76 nt
Filed under: Bryobacterales bacterium
Lineage: Bacteria; Pseudomonadati; Acidobacteriota; Terriglobia; Bryobacterales
Also listed under: 2 other names
Description: tRNA-His
Rfam family: tRNA
About the family: Transfer RNA (tRNA) molecules are approximately 80 nucleotides in length. Their secondary structure includes four short double-helical elements and three loops (D, anti-codon, and T loops).
Source: RNAcentral